GGGUUUGCUUGGUGUCGUUUGUAUCGUUUCGGUGUCUGACUCGGGAGAGGAAAGUUUAUCGUCUGAAAUCCCAUGCUUGUCUUAGCUGUUUACGGUGCAGUAUAUACAAACGGUGUCGGUUCCUGUUUUGUGCUUGUAAAUUAGUAGGAAGGAAAAGGUGGACUGAAUCCUUGGUAGUGCCCUGAAAUUAGAGUAGGUUCUUUUUUAAAGCCGCCCUGAGGGCAUAUUUCUAGGAAGUAAUAUGAAGAAACCAAAAGUCUAUUUUUGUCGUUUCCACAGGUGGUGUAGCAUAGGUUUUGUGAAUCAUAAAUGGUACUGCGAGAUCCUCAAUUUUAUUUUUAUUUAUUUUUCAUUUGCUAGAUUUAAUUUAAUUUUUUGUUUUUUUUUGAGAUCCUCAGUUUUAGAUCCAAGUAUCUCCAAUCCUCUCUUUUCAUGAACAAUUAUUACUGAAUAGAUGGUGGCAUUUAAACUGGGACUCUUGCCCUGGUCCUCUAACUUUCAGUACAAAGAAGAGACCAUUUUUUCUUGAUCUGCCUAGAUCUCCAUUGGUCUUCUUCUUUUUUUUAAUGUUUAUGUAUUUUUUUUAGAGCGAGAGAGCAUGAGUGGGGGAGGAGCAGAUAGGGAGGGAGACACAGAAUCCGAAGCAGCCUCCAGGCUCUGAGAUGUCAGCACAGAGCAGAUGUGGGGCUCAAACACACCCUGAGCUCAAGUCGGACACUUAACUGACUGAGCCACUCAGACGCCCUUCCACUCCCCUCUACCAUUUGCAUUGGCCUGCUUAGUCCUUAAGAUAAACUGUCAAAAGCAUAUCUUUGCUAUAUACUUAAAGACUUCCAUGCAAGUCCUUUAUCACCCUCCUUUAUACUUUUGCUGGCCAUGCAUCUUUUCUAUAUAUAAAUUUUAGACCCAACACCAGCCAUAUUGUAUGCCAUAUUAGACCAUUUGUGUACAUUUUUUCUAAUCUUAAUAACCACCCCUAUAUUCUACGUAUUACGUGUAAGCGCUGUGAACUUCCGAGUGGGACCAGAAAAGGAACUUGCCACUACAUGAAUACCAAGAAAGGAACAAACCGCACGUUUCAGAGUGUUGAGUGGGCCUCUGGUCCACCUAAGAUACCCUGAGAACAUAGCCAGUGAGGAUCACUCUAAUUCUCCUCUAACACUUCUUCAACCCAUUGUCUUGGUGCACCCUUUUAGGGCCUUCAACUCAGCAGGUGCAGAACCCAAGACCUGGAGGGUCCCAAGAGAACAGGUCAAACUGGUGGCCAAGUCGGGGGCCAGGGCCCGUCUACUGUGCAUCCUGUGGUGACCUUUGUAGUUUGCACGUGAUCUCUCCUGGCCAGUAUCAUAAGCUACACUGUGGGUUGUGCAUGUGUUGUCUACAUAUCGACUGCUAAGAAAAUAAAUAACAUGUCUGAAAAAACA
Molecule: long non-coding RNA, 1424 nt
Organism: Felis catus (domestic cat)
Lineage: Eukaryota; Metazoa; Chordata; Mammalia; Carnivora; Felidae
Exons: 3
Source: RefSeq, a predicted model, not a curated record